This 21-nucleotide non-coding RNA is filed under the name Rattus norvegicus (Norway rat). Lineage: Eukaryota; Metazoa; Chordata; Mammalia; Rodentia; Muridae. The record is from RNAcentral.
CAUUGACUGUGCCUUCUCAGA